RNAcentral lists this ribosomal RNA (449 nucleotides) under uncultured bacterium. RNAcentral describes it as "partial 16S ribosomal RNA". It matches the Rfam family "Bacterial small subunit ribosomal RNA", at positions 29 to 523 of the family's 1533-position model. The record is from RNAcentral.
AACGAACGCUGGCGGCAGGCUUAACACAUGCAAGUCGAACGCAUCCUUCGGGGUGAGUGGCAGACGGGUGAGUAACGCGUGGGAACGUGCCCUUCAGUUCGGGAUAACCCAGGGAAACUUGGGCUAAUACCGGAUACGUGCGAGAGCAGAAAGAUUUAUCGCCGAAGGAUCGGCCCGCGUCUGAUUAGCUAGUUGGUGGGGUAAUGGCCCACCAAGGCGACGAUCAGUAGCUGGUCUGAGAGGGUGAUCGGCCACAUUGGGACUGAGACACGGCCCAGACUCCUACGGGAGGCGGCAGUGGGGAAUAUUGGACAAUGGGGGCAACCCUGAUCCAGCAAUGCCGCGUGAGUGAUGAAGGCCUUAGGGUUGUAAAGCUCUUUUACCAGGGAUGAUAAUGACAGUACCUGGAGAAUAAGCUCCGGCUAACUCCGUGCCAGCAGCCGCAGUAA